Molecule: long non-coding RNA, 343 nt
Filed under: Capsicum annuum
Lineage: Eukaryota; Viridiplantae; Streptophyta; Magnoliopsida; Solanales; Solanaceae
Description: long non-coding RNA (CANN_LNC004786)
Source: RNAcentral
AUGACCCCCUAAACUAUUUUAAAGUAGAAUUAUUGUCCCCCUGAACGCUGACAUGGCAAAGAGUGCGUUUCACUCUCUUUAAAGAGAGUGAGAACGAAUUUUUUUAUUAAAAAUUUAUUUUAAAUAUUUCUUUACUCUUUUCUUUAUACAUUUUUAAUUCUUAUUCUUCUUUAUUCAUUUUCUUUCUUCUUCUUCUUCUUCUGGAACUCAACAAUGGCAUCUUCAAGAACUCAAUAAUGACAUCCAAUCCAAAACUAAUUUAUCAUCUCCUUCGAUAUAAAUCACAGUAAAUGGUCAAACUAGACCAACUACCAUUUCAUCCAAACUAACAAUCACCUCCCUA